RNAcentral lists this ribosomal RNA (506 nucleotides) under uncultured bacterium. Its description in RNAcentral is "partial 16S ribosomal RNA". It matches the Rfam family "Bacterial small subunit ribosomal RNA", at positions 29 to 523 of the family's 1533-position model. The record is from RNAcentral.
AUUGAACGCUGGCGGCAGGCCUAACACAUGCAAGUCGAACGGCAGCGGGGGGUAGCUUGCUACUCCGCCGGCGAGUGGCGGACGGGUGAGUAAUGCCUGGGGAGCUGCCCAAUCGAGGGGGAUACCAGUUGGAAACGACUGCUAAUACCGCAUACGCCCUGAGGGGGAAAGGUGGGGAUCUUCGGACCUACCGCGAUUGGAUGCACCCAGGUGGGAUUAGCUAGUUGGUGAGGUAACGGCUCACCAAGGCGACUAGCCCUAGCUGGUCUGAGAGGAUGACCAGCCACACUGGAACUGAGACACGGUCCAGACUCCUACGGGAGGCAGCCGUGGGGAAUAUUGCACAAUGGGGGAAACCCUGAUGCAGCCAUGCCGCGUGUGUGAAGAAGGCCUUCGGGUUGUAAAGCACUUUCAGCGAGGAGGAAAGGUGGCUAGCUAAUACCUAGUUGCUGUGACGUUACUCGCAGAAGAAGCACCGGCUAACUCCGUGCCAGCCGCCGCCGUAA